AAAGAUUCUUAGAUCGUUGGCCCUUGAACCUUCGGGGUGCACGCUUCGGCAGGGA
RNAcentral lists this small RNA (55 nucleotides) under Sinorhizobium meliloti 2011. RNAcentral describes it as "putative ncRNA". Lineage: Bacteria; Pseudomonadati; Pseudomonadota; Alphaproteobacteria; Hyphomicrobiales; Rhizobiaceae. The record is from RNAcentral.